This 290-nucleotide long non-coding RNA is filed under the name Phoenix dactylifera (date palm). Its description in RNAcentral is "long non-coding RNA (PDAC_LNC006357)". Lineage: Eukaryota; Viridiplantae; Streptophyta; Magnoliopsida; Arecales; Arecaceae. The record is from RNAcentral.
ACUUGUAUUUACUUGGUUCAAUCGGGGAUUGAAUCAAGGGGAUUGAGGUUGGUUGGUGAGCCGAGUUAAAACCAACGUGUGUAAGGGUUUGAUUGUGAGCCCGGGAAAACAAUCGGGGUUGGUUCUAGUCGGUGAGCCUGGAAAAACCGACCGAGUUCGUUGUGAGCUCGUAAAACAACAAGUUCGGUUGUGAGCUUGGAAAACAACCGACUGUAAUCCAAGGGGGGUUAUAGUGAAUUCCCAAGUGAGACUUGGGGAGUGGACGUAGGAGCAAGGGUUAGCUCCGAACC